GAACUGAAGAGUUUGAUCCUGGCUCAGAUUGAACGCUGGCGGCAUGCCUAACACAUGCAAGUCGAACGCGAAAGCACCUUCGGGUGCGAGUAGAGUGGCGGACGGGUGAGUAACGCGUGGGAACCUGCCCAGUAGUGGGGGAUAACCCGGGGAAACUCGGGCUAAUACCGCAUACGCCCUACGGGGGAAAGGC
RNAcentral lists this ribosomal RNA (193 nucleotides) under Thiotrichales bacterium. RNAcentral describes it as "partial 16S ribosomal RNA". It matches the Rfam family "Bacterial small subunit ribosomal RNA", at positions 1 to 208 of the family's 1533-position model. The record is from RNAcentral. Lineage: Bacteria; Pseudomonadati; Pseudomonadota; Gammaproteobacteria; Thiotrichales.